Molecule: unclassified non-coding RNA, 106 nt
Filed under: Bipolaris sp. MU34
Lineage: Eukaryota; Fungi; Ascomycota; Dothideomycetes; Pleosporales; Pleosporaceae
Description: ITS1
Source: RNAcentral
CACAAUACAAUAUGAAGGCUGUCCGCAGCUGGAGUAUUUUAUUACCCGUGUGUUUUGCGCACUUGUUGUUUAUGGGCGGGUUCGCUGGCCCGGAGGACCCCCAAAU